Long non-coding RNA from Peromyscus leucopus (white-footed mouse), 528 nucleotides. RefSeq lists it as uncharacterized. Lineage: Eukaryota; Metazoa; Chordata; Mammalia; Rodentia; Cricetidae. The record is from RefSeq and is a predicted model, not a curated record. The transcript is spliced from 3 exons.
UAUUAGCUCAGGAGCACCGGAAGCCACCCCCCAAGUAUUUGUCUCAGUCCAAACCACAGUGUACGCUACCCACUCAGAGCUCGAUUGGCCAGGCCUGAGAGGCCGGCUAGUCAGUCCUUAACCUGGAGGCGUUUCUCUAAAGAAGUAACAUGAGAACGCACCGGUUCCGCCAAGCGUCAGGGCUUCAGUCCCGCCCUCUCCGCCUGGCAAAACGGAAGCCAUUCUGGCUUCUUCCCUAUCAUCGUCCUGAAGCCCAGAAUCCGGCCCAGCACCCCACAGUCACUCACAGCAAAACACAAACAGGGCGCGCAGCUGCUGGUUUCGCUGGUCAAUGGCUUCGUUCACAGAUGGGAAGUCAUUGAGGAUCAGGAACUGCUUGAGAUCAGAUACCAGCUUCAUCAGUGACUCACCAGCUCGGACCUGCCACCAUCAUAAUCAGGCAGAAUCUAGACAUGUACCCAGACCCCAGGGAAAACCAGUUCCUGCCUUCUCGUAUGGCCUCGGAACAGCGUCCACGUACCUUGGCGG